AAUAAAAAUCUAAUUUCGACUACAUGUGGUCGAAAUAAUUAAGUCAAAGUCGGUCAAAUCUGACUUAAUUAUUGUCGACCACAUGUGGUCGAAAAUUUCAAAAGAUUUAGACCAGAUCUAGUCUCUUUAAUUUUCUUUUCAUUUUCCCCCUUCUCUUUCACUCUCUUCUCUCUCCCUCUCCUCUCUCUACCAUCCCACCACCCGAUUGCCCCACCCCCUCCUUAGAUGGUCAACGCCUCCAGACGCCGCCGCUGUUUCCGACCAGCAAUCGUCGCCACCAGACGCCGCCAGCUCAGGUGAGAAAAGUACUCCCAGAACUUUAUCACCUUGUUUGUUUACCUGAUGAUGGAGAUGUACUAACAAAUGCAUGUUCGGUACUUGCUCGCCUUACGGAUAGUAAUUACUGCAAAACGCCAGUCAUCACUAACGAUGGUGUUUGUAAACAGCUGUUUAAACUCCUCGAGCAUCCGCUUCCUUCAGUAGUCAGCCCUGCCCUCCAUACACUUGGAAAUAUUGUUUUAAGAAAUGACAUCCAGUCUCAGCAAACAAUGGAGCCUUUCGUCGAUACCAGUCGACCCUUGAAGUCGUAGGUGCUGCUGAUGAUGGGGCAGUUGAUCCUAAGGAGUAUGAAGCUAUGAAGCAUCAAGUUGACCUGCUAGCAAGAACACUUAAUUCCUCGGAGGCCAGGAUGUUGGGGAGGAUACGGAUCAUGUCUCUAAUACCGAACGUUGACCUUUUUGAUUAGUGUGCUUUUGGAUUCUAAUUCGGCUAUGUUUAAAUGGAUAUGUAUAUUAUGUUUAAGAGUUUGAAUGUAGUUUUAGUUCGAAUUAGAAGUACUUUUAAUUUUAAGAUGUUUAAGUGUUUGAACGUAGUUUAUGAUGUUUAAGUGUUUGAAUGGACAAUGUUUAAGUGUUCAAGUGUUUGAACAUUGUUUAUGGUUGUUGUGUUG
This is an RNA transcript of Lycium barbarum (goji berry), 949 nucleotides long. It is a transcript of the gene named importin subunit alpha-1a-like, with no coding region annotated. NCBI's taxonomy places the organism in Eukaryota, Viridiplantae, Streptophyta, Magnoliopsida, Solanales, Solanaceae. The transcript is spliced from 4 exons. The record is from RefSeq and is a predicted model, not a curated record.